GAGGCCAGGAAGGCUGCCGGGGAGGUGGAAGACGAGGGUACCGAAGAGCUGGGGGCCGACGCGGAGACCCAACCCAGCAGCACUAACGCCAGCCUUGCCAACCGCAGCCGUCCGUCCCCGGCGGCGGGGCCCCGGGAGCCCGCCCCAGGCAUCGCGGCUCGCGGUUCCCCGGAGCUGGGACAGCGCCCGCUCCGAAGAUUCGACCGCCUGGGCCCGGCGGGCGCGAGCCGGCCGCAAGCGUCGACGGCAAACUUUCCUCUCGUGGGAGCCAAGGAGGGGACGCCAAAGCUGGAACUUGGCUAACCCCGGGCCACCGGGCGUCCCCCUCCCGGAGCGGCACCCCGCCCUUCCCUCCAGUGAGUACGCACGGCGGGUCGGGACACGGGCCUUGGCGCUCCUCCUCCCGCCGCAGCUGGGGUGGGUGGCACCUCCUCGACUCCUUUGUUGGCGCCUCUCUCGGGGCAGGAUCGGAUGAGCGACCUGGGACAAGCGGGAGAGAAGCAUGAGGAGCAGUGACGGCCGCAGCACCCCAAGUACGAGCCAAGUUGCCUCCACACUAGCCACCCGGCCCAAGCUUCUGUGUGCGUCCUUCCCCCCUAGAGGGACGCGGUCCCCACUCCCAAGCGCUAAGCCAGCCUCUUCCGGGCCCACACCAUCAGGACCCGGGCCACCUCCCGCCUGGCUCCUGCCCGGAUUGCCCUCCUCCCGCCUCGAACUUCACCCAGACCCCGCGGUGUCCAGCAAGCAAACUUCUCCCUUUUCCAGAUCCCAGCUCCUACCGCCCCGGCCGACCACCUGCCUUCCGGGGUCCCCGCCCCCGCCGCUCCUCCCCCUCCCAGGUUGGGAUGAGAGCGAAGUUUCGGGUUACGGGACUCUUCCAAGCUUUUUUUUUUUUUUUUCCUUUUUGUACCUCCUUGGAUUAGUGUGGAAAGGGGGGCAGAGCCGUACAGCUGUUGCCUAAUCUCGACUCCCCAGUUCCUGGCCAUCCAGCUCCCGGAUCCCGAGAGGGUCCAGACAUCUCCAGAAAAACGGAGGGAACCCGCCAACAAAGCGGCCGUGGGACCGUGGGCGGUGUGGCAGCAAGGACCCCCCGCUCUCCUCACGCCCUAGUAUAGAAAGGAGCCCCGGUCCCGCCUCCAAGCUCCAAACCUGGCCGCUUGGUCCCCACUGCUCACCUCCGCACCCCGCGCCUGCAAAGCCAACGCCGAGGGCCACCCGAGUCCACGCGCCUUCCCGGCUCCUGCUGCGGGCGCCGACUCUCCUCUCACCCCAGCCCCUGGCCCAACCUCCACGGCUGGGAAAAACCAAGCCGGGGGGCGGGGGAGGGCCGGGGCUGCAGGAGAGAUCGCCACCGCGCUGCCCACCUCUGCUGCCCCAGGUGGAAGCAGAAGGAGCAAAAGCUCCAGCUCCUUUUUGGCUACGUGAUGACUUUGAGAUGACCUGGAGAAAGACCCUGUCUUGAAACAACCCCAAAAAGAAGAGCAGGCUGAGCCAUUGUCAAGACAGCUCAUCAGACAGAUCACUGGAAGAAAAAAACCUGACAACGCUGUCGCAAGAAAAGGAAACCACGGAGCGGGACCACGUACGGUUGUAGAUGUAGCAUCCUUCCGCUAAAUUAAACCUCAUCAAACCCAGAGAUAAGCAAAAGUGACUGUAAUCCAUGACUAUGCAGGAUUCACAUCUAGGAACACAAAGCUGCUUAAAUGAAAAGAAAUCGACUUUUGCAAUACAAAUUACCAAUGGAAACAAAAGGAAUAAAAAAAAAAACAGAAACAAAAUAUGCCCAUGCCAUCUGAUGCGGUAGAGUAUUUAGCAAUAUUCACCAUCCACUCUGACAAAAGAAAACACCCUACCUAAUAUAAAUGAAAGAAGUUCCCAUCCUGGCUAAGAGUACCAGAAACCAAGCGUAUUAACACCACAAAGCACACACCUACAAUGACAUGUAAUGGCAGAAGAUACGAUUUGCUGUUACGAAAAUUGAUGAUGGGGGAAAUAUGCUACAGCCUUAAACACUCAUAAAAUGAAAAGUUAUAUUUUGAAUUUCUUGUGAUUUUUUUUUACAUAAUAAAAAGUCAUAUCAUCAGAGAAUAGAGUUGGUUCUGUCUCUUCCUUCCUUCCUAGUCUGAGUGCCCCAUGGUCUUGCCUGAUUGUCUUAUGUGGCAUGCCCAAUACAAUCUUGAAAAAGAGCUAGGUAAGAGCAGACAUCCUUGUUUUGGUAUUUACUGUCAUGUGAAACCAUUCUGUCUUUAAGCAUUAAAUGUUAUUUUAGCUGUGGAGUUUUACUUCUUGCUGCUAUUACUGCUUUUAUACAUAUCAAUUAAAUAGAAUUUCAUUGACACAUC
Molecule: long non-coding RNA, 2342 nt
Filed under: Mus pahari (shrew mouse)
Lineage: Eukaryota; Metazoa; Chordata; Mammalia; Rodentia; Muridae
Description: RIKEN cDNA 9330154J02 gene (MGP_PahariEiJ_G0012044.1)
Source: RNAcentral